AAAAAAAAAAAAAAAAAAAAAAAAAAAAAAAAACACUG
RNAcentral lists this non-coding RNA (38 nucleotides) under Prorocentrum micans. The record is from RNAcentral. Lineage: Eukaryota; Dinophyceae; Prorocentrales; Prorocentraceae.